RNA transcript from Capsella rubella, 1939 nucleotides. It is a transcript of the gene named AT-hook motif nuclear-localized protein 22, with no coding region annotated. The record is from RefSeq and is a predicted model, not a curated record. Lineage: Eukaryota; Viridiplantae; Streptophyta; Magnoliopsida; Brassicales; Brassicaceae. The transcript has 3 exons.
AUUAAAAAGGGGAGAGAGAGAGAGAGAGUAGAGCCCACAAAGUGACACAGUAGGUAGGACCUACACACCGCCCAUGCGGCACGCUGUCUAUCUAAAAAAAAACUUUCAAAACCAAAACCAAAACUAAAACUAAAACUAAAACUAAAACUCUCUCAUUCAUCUGAAUACUCUCUUAACCUCUCCUCAGACCUAACCCUAAACCCAUCUCUUUCCUCUCCUCUUCUUCCUCUUCCAAGCUUCAUCUUCAUGUAUUACUACUAGCUUCUCCUGCUCCCCUUUCCAUUUUUACAUAUGUACAUGACUUUGUACCCUUUGAUCUCUUUUCCUUUUUAUUAAUAAUCUCUCGAUCCAUCUCUUCUUUAAUAAUAUCUUCAAUCUUUUUCUUCCUUUAAUUUAUUGAAUUGAGCUCUAUUUUGUACAUCUUCUUCAAGCUAAGCUAAGCUAUUGGUAUUUUAUUUGAGUGGAAGAGAAGAGAGGAUAUUUCGAAAUAUUAAUUAGGGUUUUCUUUUCCAUUAAUUAUUGUUUGCUUUUCAAUCAAGAAAUGGAUCAGGUCUCUCGCUCUCUUCCUCCACCCUUUCUCUCAAGAGAUCUCCAUCUUCACCCACACCACCAAUUCCAGCACCAGCAGCAGAGCCUCGGCCAUGAGCUCGACCAGCACCGAAUCGGCGGGCUUAAACGUGACAGAGACGCUGAUAUCGAUCCCAACGAGCACUCUUCAGCCGGAAAAGAUCAAAACACUCCCGGCUCAGGCGGAGAAAGCGGCGGAGGCGGAGGCGGUGAUAAUCACAUCACCAGAAGGCCACGUGGCAGACCAGCUGGGUCCAAGAACAAACCCAAGCCACCAAUCAUCAUCACCCGAGACAGCGCAAACGCUCUCAAAUCUCAUGUCAUGGAAGUUGCAAACGGGUGUGACGUCAUGGAGAGCGUCACCGUCUUCGCUCGCCGUCGCCAACGUGGCAUCUGCGUUUUGAGCGGAAACGGCGCCGUCACCAACGUCACCAUCAGACAGCCGGCGUCAGUACCUGGCGGUGGCUCAUCUGUCGUUAACCUACACGGACGUUUCGAGAUUCUUUCUCUCUCGGGAUCUUUCCUUCCCCCACCGGCUCCACCAGCUGCGUCGGGUCUAACGAUUUACUUAGCCGGUGGUCAAGGACAGGUCGUUGGAGGAAGCGUGGUUGGUCCACUCAUGGCUUCAGGACCUGUGGUGAUUAUGGCAGCUUCGUUUGGGAACGCUGCGUAUGAGAGGUUGCCGUUAGAGGAAGAUGACCAAGAAGAGCAAACGGCUGGGGCGGUUGCUAAUAAUAUCGAUGGAAACGCAGCGAUGGGUGGUGGGACGCCAACGCAAACGCAACCGCAGAAUCAGACGCAGCAGCAGCAACAACAGUUGAUGCAAGAUCCGACGUCGUUUAUACAAGGCUUGCCUCCGAAUCUUAUGAAUUCUGUUCAGUUGCCAGCUGAAGCUUAUUGGGGAACUCCGAGGCCAUCUUUCUAAAUCGCUGAAAAACACAAAGAGUAUAAAAUUAUAAACGGCUAUAGAUGGAUAUUUAUAAUUUUAAGCUGGAAGAUAAUAAUAAGGAAAAAGAAAAAGAAAAAGAUGAUUGUUCCGAGGUUGGUAAGAAGAUGGUGAGGCAAGAAGCAUAAUGACAAGAACAAGACUUGGGAACAAGGGUUUUGAAAGUGAGAGACGAAGAAAGCAAGCAAUUAAAGAGAAGAGCAUUGGGUGAUGCACCGACGCACGUGCGUGUCUCUGAGUCUGAGCGAGAAAGAAGAAAAAAGUUCCUUUACGAGGCGAUGAGUGAAAGUGAGAAGAAAGAGAGAGAGAUAGAGAGAGUUACUUCCUUACUUCCAAAGCCACCUCCCUCCCACUUUGCCCAUCAUUCAUUCAUUCUAUCUCUCUUUCUUCGUUUUGUAUUUAUGAAUCAUACUAUACUAUAGCUCU